CUUUGAAUUGCGGGAUAAACAGUUGGAGUGGAACGACGCCGUACCUUUCCCGUUAGGUUUAAAUGCUGUAUAAAAGACCAUGACGGAAUGCCCCUGGCAGCAGCAACAGAGGUAGAAGAAACCGGGAUGCUUUGACGCUCUGUUCUGUUCAACUUCAAUUGCUUCGCUAGCAGAAUCUGCAAAACGGUGUCCUGAUGGAGGAAAAAAAGCCGUCGCCACAAGCAGGGGUGGUGUUGUUUGUGCUUAAGGGAAAAUCGGUCCUGUUGGGGCGCUGCCGCUCCUCCAUCGGUGACUCCACAGUUGCUCUCCCUAGUGGUUAACUCGAGGGAGAGCUUUGAGGACUGCGGUGCUAGAGAGCUGAAGGAGGAAACGAGUUUGGAAAUGGAGAAAGCAGAGUACUUAACAGUGACCAACAACCUCUUCCUGGACGAACCCUAACCAGCCCAUUACGUCACCAUCUUUCUGCGUGCAGUGUUGGGGGAUCCCGAUCAAGUCCCGCAAAACCUGAAGCCAAAUAAGUGCGAUGGAUGGGAUUGGUGUGAUUGGGAUAAACUGCCCCAGCAUUAGUUUUGGCCACUGGAGAAAAUGGUACGAAAUGGCUUCAAUCAUUUUCCAUCUCAAUCUCAUCCAGUUGACAGUUGCUGAAUGCGUUUUAAGAUUUUGCUUUGUUGCUUUCUGAUGACUGAUCGAUGGGUUUCAUGAUGCUGUAUUGUAAUUGUAUUGUACGGUCAAUGUGAAUUUUGAUGGUUUUUAUUUUCUAGCCAAGAUUAAAAGAUUUGCAAAUUGGAGUUUUCAUGAAUUUACCAAGUGCAAAUUUAGGAAUUUCGCCCCCAGUUUAUUAUUAUUAUUAUUAUUAUUGUUAUUAUUUUACUCACUCUUAAGCGGAAUAAAUCUUUAUUUAAGAAAAAUUUGCUUUGGAUAUCCUUUGCUAGUGGCGAGUGAUUACAUCACUCUUGAAUUUCAUGAACGUUGAGGUACCUUUACAUUUGUUGGUUUUACAGAGAAAAAAAAAAAAAA
Non-coding RNA from Durio zibethinus, 1017 nucleotides. Lineage: Eukaryota; Viridiplantae; Streptophyta; Magnoliopsida; Malvales; Malvaceae. The record is from RefSeq and is a predicted model, not a curated record.